This 435-nucleotide ribosomal RNA is filed under the name uncultured bacterium. Its description in RNAcentral is "bacterial SSU rRNA". It matches the Rfam family "Bacterial small subunit ribosomal RNA", at positions 43 to 524 of the family's 1533-position model. The record is from RNAcentral.
CAGGCCUAACACAUGCAAGUCGAACGAAGGCUUCGGCCUUAGUGGCGCACGGGUGCGUAACGCGUGGGAAUCUGCCCCUUGGUUCGGAAUAACAGUUAGAAAUGACUGCUAAUACCGGAUAACGACGUAAGUCCAAAGAUUUAUCGCCGAGGGAUGAGCCCGCGUAGGAUUAGCUAGUUGGUGUGGUAAAGGCGCACCAAGGCGACGAUCCUUAGCUGGUCUGAGAGGAUGAUCAGCCACACUGGGACUGAGACACGGCCCAGACUCCUACGGGAGGCAGCAGUGGGGAAUAUUGGACAAUGGGCGAAAGCCUGAUCCAGCAAUGCCGCGUGGGUGAUGAAGGCCUUAGGGUUGUAAAGCUCUUUUACCCGGGAUGAUAAUGACAGUACCGGGAGAAUAAGCCCCGGCUAACUCCGUGCCAGCAGCCGCGGUAAU